Cicer arietinum (chickpea) is the source of this 488-nucleotide long non-coding RNA. RefSeq lists it as uncharacterized. Lineage: Eukaryota; Viridiplantae; Streptophyta; Magnoliopsida; Fabales; Fabaceae. The record is from RefSeq and is a predicted model, not a curated record.
UCCCCCAUUUUUUUCGUUUUUUUUCUUCUUCUUUUUCCUUCUCUUUGCUUCUUCCCAUCUACAAAGCAUAAAUCCUCAACUCUUAUAAUGAAUUUAACAUCCUCAAGAACAUAAUUUCUCAUACUUCUACCAAUGCUCUUAGGUAGGAUUUUGGGUUAGGGUUUGUGCUCUAAGGAAGGAAGGAGAAAGGUACCCAUUUCUUGAGAGUUGUUUAUUGAGACUCUUUUAGAUUUGUCAGCUGAGGUCCUGCCGACUACUCUGGAAGUUGUUGGAGAACAAACGUAGUCGAUUCUCCAUAGUUAUUCGCAGGCAGCUGAGUAGCAAGCUAUUAGUAGAUUCAAGUUUCGAUCAUAUUUUGUUUUGGUAGGCCUUUUUGAUCGAUGACCUUUUUUUAAUUUUUGUAAAGUCUAUAGAGUCAUGAUGUAAUUUGCAGUUGUUUUGAGUCUAGAAAGUCUUUUGGGGGAUGUACUGAAUAUUUAGCACAUCAA